This 468-nucleotide ribosomal RNA is filed under the name uncultured bacterium. Its description in RNAcentral is "partial 16S ribosomal RNA". It matches the Rfam family "Bacterial small subunit ribosomal RNA", at positions 28 to 507 of the family's 1533-position model. The record is from RNAcentral.
GACGAACGCUGGCGGCGUGCUUAACACAUGCGAGUCGAACGGAAAGGCCCUGCUUUUGUGGGGUGCUCGAGUGGCGAAAGGGUGAGUAACACGUGAGUAACCUGCCCUUGACUUUGGGAUAACUUCAGGAAACUGGGGCUAAUACCGGAUAGGAGCUCCUGCUGCAUGGUGGGGGUUGGAAAGUUUCGGCGGUUGGGGAUGGACUCGCGGCUUAUCAGCUUGUUGGUGGGGUAGUGGCUUACCAAGGCUUUGACGGGUAGCCGGCCUGAGAGGGUGACCGGCCACAUUGGGACUGAGAUACGGCCCAGACUCCUACGGGAGGCAGCAGUGGGGAAUAUUGCACAAUGGGCUGAAGCCUGAUGCAGCAACGCCGCGUGCGGGAUGACGGCCUUCGGGUUGUAAACCGCUUUCGCCUGUGACGAAGCGUGAGUGACGGUAAUGGGUAAAGAAGCACCGGCUAACUACGUG